GACGAACGCUGGCGGCGUGCUUAACACAUGCAAGUCGAACGGUAAGGCCCUUCGGGGUACACGAGUGGCGAACGGGUGAGUAACACGUGGGUGAUCUGCCCCGCACUUCGGGAUAAGCCUGGGAAACUGGGUCUAAUACCGGAUAGGACCACUGCCUGCAUGGGUGGUGGUGGAAAGCUUUUGCGGUGUGGGAUGGGCCCGCGGCCUAUCAGCUUGUUGGUGGGGUGAUGGCCGACCAAGGCGACGACGGGUAGCCGGCCUGAGAGGGUGACCGGCCACACUGGGACUGAGAUACGGCCCAGACUCCUACGGGAGGCAGCAGUGGGGAAUAUUGCACAAUGGGCGCAAGCCCGAUGCAGCGACGCCGCGUGAGGGAUGACGGCCUUCGGGUUGUAAACCUCUUUCAGCACCGACGAAGCGCAAGGGACGGUAGGUGCAGAAGAAGGACCGGCCAACUACGUGCCAGCCGCCGCUGUAA
This 478-nucleotide ribosomal RNA is filed under the name uncultured bacterium. Its description in RNAcentral is "partial 16S ribosomal RNA". It matches the Rfam family "Bacterial small subunit ribosomal RNA", at positions 28 to 523 of the family's 1533-position model. The record is from RNAcentral.